AAUAAAAGAAAAAAGUCAAACUGUUUAGUAAACAUAAGAAAAAAAAUCAAAGAAAUGCAUGUUUAAGCUACUUUAAUGUUGAUUCUCAUACAAUCACACACACUCUAAACAAAAUUAAGUAAUGCUGGGUAUACUUCUUUUCUAACUUUUUUUUUUCACUUGAUAUACAGGCAUCUUCUAUGCAACUUCAACUAUCUCUUAGUGAAAAUGUCAAGUUCUGCACAAAUUUAUUUAUUUAUUUAUUUAUUUAUUUAUUUAUUUAUUUAUUUAUUGAGACAGAGUCUUGCUCUAUCGCCCAGGCUGGAGUGCAAUGGCACGAUCUUGGCUCACUGCAACCUCUGCCUCCCAGGUUCAAGCAAUUCUCCUCCCUCAGCCUCCUGAGUAGCUGAGAUUA
RNAcentral lists this long non-coding RNA (394 nucleotides) under Pan troglodytes (chimpanzee). Its description in RNAcentral is "long non-coding RNA NONPTRT005517". Lineage: Eukaryota; Metazoa; Chordata; Mammalia; Primates; Hominidae. The record is from RNAcentral.